GUGCAAAAUAAGCCGCUGAAGACUUUUUACAAGCGAGGAAGUUACUCCAGCCCCGUUCCCCCUACCAGAUGUCACUGUUUAUUUUGAGAGCAGGAAGAAACAUAAGAGCUGAAAACAGUUGCAUUCAGAGAAGAGACCCCUCUUUUGUCCCGCCAGGAUUAAUCCCUCCGUGAGGUUUACUGCAACAACUGCGAUCA
Myripristis murdjan (pinecone soldierfish) is the source of this 197-nucleotide long non-coding RNA. RefSeq lists it as uncharacterized. The transcript has 3 exons. The record is from RefSeq and is a predicted model, not a curated record. Lineage: Eukaryota; Metazoa; Chordata; Actinopteri; Holocentriformes; Holocentridae.